Non-coding RNA from Lolium perenne, 856 nucleotides. The record is from RefSeq and is a predicted model, not a curated record. NCBI's taxonomy places the organism in Eukaryota, Viridiplantae, Streptophyta, Magnoliopsida, Poales, Poaceae.
AAGCAAAAAGCGUUUCCGUCGUCCGUUUUUUUGUUGCCCCUGCCUUUCAGUCGAAAUUACAAAGAUUGCCACCGCUGAGUUAAAUAACGUUUUGGUCCGGUCUGUUUCGCCCGCCGGGUCUCUUUCCUUCCUCCGCGUCGCCUAGGCUGCACCUCCACACCUCGCUGCCCCGGACUCCUUCCCCAACUGCGCCUCCCCGGGCCCAUUCAACAAAUACGACUCCGCCGGCCCCUUGAUCCACGGCCCUUCCCCUGGCUCCACAUCGAAUAUGCCCGUCGCCUGAUUCAAGCUCGGUCUCCCGGUGCGGCUCAGACCUCCAUGGCGAGGACGCCCGCCGCCGUCGAAUCCACAUACCCCGCUGCUCGAUCUCCCCCAAAUUCAUUGGCGAAUUCACCUACCCCACUGCUCGAUCUCCCCCAAAUUCAACUACUCGGCGCUCGCGAUUCUUCCCCAAAUACAGAGUCCUCCACGGCCUGGUCCUCCUCCAGCCAAAAUCCCGGAGAUCCCAUGUAUGAACGGCUCCUGCCGUGCGCUGCGCUAGCGCGGGGCAGAGGAGGGAGGCGACGGCACUUGGCGUUGUACUGCCUGACGAGGAGGUUGGCGGGGUUGGGCGGGUGGGCACGCGGCGGCAGGUGGUCUGGAACUCCGCCCGUGUAGAAGGGCCUGAGGAGGAAGGGAAGAUGGAGGAGCACGAGGACAGCGGGGAGGGCGAGGCGCUUCACGGAUGCCAUCCGUAUCUCACAUCAUAUGCCCAUCGAGGUUCCGGCUAAUGGAGCACAAGGGAUGGGGGCUGCUAAAGAGAAAGACAACAUGUACUGAAUUGCAUCUAAUUGCUAUUGCGAUAUUGCCAGAACUA